RNAcentral lists this ribosomal RNA (250 nucleotides) under uncultured prokaryote. Its description in RNAcentral is "partial 16S ribosomal RNA". It matches the Rfam family "Bacterial small subunit ribosomal RNA", at positions 524 to 775 of the family's 1533-position model. The record is from RNAcentral.
UACGUAGGGGGCAAGCGUUAUCCGGAUUUACUGGGUGUAAAGGGAGCGUACGGAUGUGCAAGUCUGAAGUGAAAGCCCGCAGCUCAACUGCGGAACUGCUUUGGAAACUGUGUAUCUGGAGUGCAGGAGAGGUAAGCGGAAUUCCUGGUGUAGCGGUGAAAUGCGUAGAUAUCAGGAGGAACACCGGCGGCGAAGGCGGCUUACUGGACUGUAACUGACGUUGAGGCUCGAAAGCGUGGGUAGCAAACAG